This 451-nucleotide ribosomal RNA is filed under the name Fusarium andiyazi. RNAcentral's name for it is "eukaryotic LSU rRNA". The stretch from base 111 to 264 matches the Rfam family "5.8S ribosomal RNA". Lineage: Eukaryota; Fungi; Ascomycota; Sordariomycetes; Hypocreales; Nectriaceae. The record is from RNAcentral.
UUGUUGCCUCGGCGGAUCAGCCCGCUCCCGGUAAAACGGGACGGCCCGCCAGAGGACCCUUAAACUCUGUUUCUAUAUGUAACUUCUGAGUAAAACCAUAAAUAAAUCAAAACUUUCAACAACGGAUCUCUUGGUUCUGGCAUCGAUGAAGAACGCAGCAAAAUGCGAUAAGUAAUGUGAAUUGCAGAAUUCAGUGAAUCAUCGAAUCUUUGAACGCACAUUGCGCCCGCCAGUAUUCUGGCGGGCAUGCCUGUUCGAGCGUCAUUUCAACCCUCAAGCCCAGCUUGGUGUUGGGACUCGCGAGUUAAAUCGCGUUCCCCAAAUUGAUUGGCGGUCACGUCGAGCUUCCAUAGCGUAGUAGUAAAACCCUCGUUACUGGUAAUCGUCGCGGCCACGCCGUUAAACCCCAACUUCUGAAUGUUGACCUCGGAUCAGGUAGGAAUACCCGCUG